UACGUAGGGAGCAAGCGUUGUUCGGAUUUACUGGGCGUAAAGGGCGCGUAGGCGGCGCGGUAAGUCACUUGUGAAAUCUCUGAGCUUAACUCAGAACGGCCAAGUGAUACUGCAGUGCUAGAGUGCAGAAAGGGCAAUCGGAAUUCUUGGUGUAGCGGUGAAAUGCGUAGAUAUCAAGAGGAACACCUGCGGCGAAGGCGGGUUGCUGGGCUGACACUGACGCUGAGGCGCGAAAGCUAGGGGAGCGAACGGG
Molecule: ribosomal RNA, 253 nt
Filed under: uncultured bacterium
Lineage: Bacteria
Description: partial 16S ribosomal RNA
Rfam family: Bacterial small subunit ribosomal RNA
Source: RNAcentral